RNAcentral lists this long non-coding RNA (1026 nucleotides) under Heterocephalus glaber (naked mole-rat). RNAcentral describes it as "lncRNA (ENSHGLG00100044904.1)". The record is from RNAcentral. Lineage: Eukaryota; Metazoa; Chordata; Mammalia; Rodentia; Bathyergidae.
CCCUAAUUCAUCCCAGGAGGAAAAGGCAGCUUCCUGUAGCCCUAAGCUGAAUCUUGAAGUUCAAGAAGUGAAAGAGUGAACCAAGAACAUCCCAGACAUAGGGAACUGUAUGUGAGCAGGAUCCUUUACUAAAAAGGAAACAGCCCUGCCCAAGGAUCUGGGCUCAAAUUCAAGAUCAGCUGAUUCAACACAGCAUCCCUGUAGAAAAAGCUGGCAGAGUAAAAGCUUCAAUUCCUUCCCAUGGCAGCCCACCAAAACUGGCUUCAAAGAUCCUCUGCUUAUGCUGCAGGGACUGUGAAGAGCCCCAAGUCAUCGAUGACUCCAAGGUUCCCAGUUAAACCCAAGAGAACCAGCCAUUGAGCCACAGAUCCUCAGCCCUGAACACAGUGCUUGGUACCAGUACAUCCUCAAUAAAUACAUCUGUACCCAGAUGUCCAUGGAAGACGUGUUCCAAGACCACCCUUCAAUACCCAAAUCCAUGGAUGCUCAAAUCCCUUCCAUAAACUGAGGAGACCAGGUGGAAGAAGCAGAGGACCAGCUGUGACCACUGCAGUAAUCCACAUAUGAGAUGAUGGUGCUGAGGAGGAGGCUGAAGAGCCACCACAACAUGGCAUCCAGGAUCUUCUGUUGCUGCUGCAAGGCCAGUGAGGGGGCUUCCAACACUGUGGGCUCCCACAGCCCAAGAAUGUUCCAACAGCAUCAUCCAUGGUCCUCCGAUCUGAAGGCAGGCUCUUACCAAGAUAGUUUGCAAAAGAAACACACACACUGCUCCCAAAACAACCGGAUGACAGUCAAGACAUGCAACCUUGGGUGACCCUGAGCAUUCUAGUCAGUGGCGCCCCCAUGAGGCUCUGGCUGCACAGCUGCAGAGGAUCUCCAUGAGGAGGAAGGCAGUGGGCAGGAGUCAUAAAGACUGAUUCAGAAACUUCAGGCAGGAAGAGAAGAUGUCGGAGUCAACCCUGUGCCAUCUGCUGGAGUCCCACCAUCUGACACAGCCAGGGCAGGAAGAGCUGUCUCCAAUUAAAG